Molecule: ribosomal RNA, 440 nt
Filed under: uncultured Pelotomaculum sp.
Lineage: Bacteria; Bacillati; Bacillota; Clostridia; Eubacteriales; Desulfotomaculaceae
Description: bacterial SSU rRNA
Rfam family: Bacterial small subunit ribosomal RNA
Source: RNAcentral
AUCAUUGUUGUUUAAUUCGAUGAUACGCGAAGAACCUUACCAGGUCUUGACAUCCCCGCAAUGCUCUGGAGACAGAGCGGAGGUAUCCGGGGAGACAGGUGGUGCAUGGUUGUCGUCAGCUCGUGUCGUGAGAUGUUGGGUUAAGUCCCGCAACGAGCGCAACCCCUACGUUUAGUUGCUAACAGGUGAAGCUGAGCACUCUAGACGAACUGCCGUUGACAAACGGAGGAAGUGGGAUGACGUCAAAUCAUCAUGCCCCUUAUGUUCUGGGCUACACACGUGCUACAAUGGCCGGUACAGACGGAGGCGAAGCCGCGAGGCGGAGCAAAUCCGAAAAAGCCGGUCUCAGUUCGGAUUGCAGGCUGCAAUUCGCCUGCAUGAAGUCGGAAUCGCUAGUAAUCGCAGGUCAGCAUACUGCGGUGAAUACGUUCCCGGGCCUU